GACAGAGGGUGCAACCGUUGUUCGGAUUUACUGGGCGUAAAGCGCGUGUAGGCGGCUUUGCAAGUCGGAUGUGAAGGCCCACGGCUCAACCGUGGAAGUGCAUCCGAAACUGCAUGGCUUGAGUCUCGGAGAGGAAGGUGGAAUGCUUGGUGUAGAGGUGAAAUUCGUAGAUAUCAAGCAGAACACCUGCGGCGAAGGCGGCCUUCUGGACGAUGACUGACGCUGAGACGCGAAAGCGUGGGGAGCAAACAGG
This 253-nucleotide ribosomal RNA is filed under the name uncultured bacterium. RNAcentral describes it as "partial 16S ribosomal RNA". It matches the Rfam family "Bacterial small subunit ribosomal RNA", at positions 524 to 776 of the family's 1533-position model. The record is from RNAcentral.